Molecule: ribosomal RNA, 303 nt
Filed under: uncultured bacterium
Lineage: Bacteria
Description: partial 16S ribosomal RNA
Rfam family: Bacterial small subunit ribosomal RNA
Source: RNAcentral
AGCAGCAGCCACGGUAAUACGUAGGUGGCAAGCGUUGUCCGGAAUUAUUGGGCGUAAAGGGCUCGCAGGCGGUUUCUUAAGUCUGAUGUGAAAGCCCCCGGCUCAACCGGGGAGGGUCAUUGGAAACUGGGAAACUUGAGUGCAGAAGAGGAGAGUGGAAUUCCACGUGUAGCGGUGAAAUGCGUAGAGAUGUGGAGGAACACCAGUGGCGAAGGCGACUCUCUGGUCUGUAACUGACGCUGAGGAGCGAAAGCGUGGGGAGCGAACAGGAUUAGAUACCCCGGUAGUCCCUGUCUCUUAUAC